GGGAAAACCGAUGUGGCAUGCUCUUCCCAGGCAACUGUGCUGGGACAGGGUCCCGCAAACGUCGCGGGAGAAAAACCGAAGACAUGAGGUGCUCCCAGUGCGGUCCAACAGGCGUAUUUUAAAUAUAUGUCCCCAGGUCCAUGACUGAAGAAAAUUCUGGAAGGACUCCCAGGAAGUUAUUUCUUUUUUCUGCUUGCUGUGAUAUUGAGGAGAAAACGGUGAUGACAUCUUUUUGGCUGGAUGGAACUGAUGGAAGAUUUAUGGAGCAGCUGAGGACUGUCAGAGCCAGACCCAGCAGAUUUCCUAAGAGAAUGACCAUGGCCUUUUCAUCAGCGAGCACACUGCCUUCUGAAAUGGUCUAACAUGAGAGAGAGAGAGAGAGAGAGAGAGAGAGAGAGAGAGAGAGAGAGAGAGAGAGAGAGAGAGAGAGAGAAGGAGAGGGAGAGGGAGAGGGAGAGGGAGAGAGGGAGAGAGAGAGAGAGCCCUAUCUAACCAGCCAUCAGUGAGGUUAUCCCUGUACCCCACAGCUGCUGCCACCCAAUCUGAAGGUUCCCGCUUCUGCUCUUGAAGUAUUUAUUGUAUGUGACCACACAGAAGUCCUAGCUGUCACCCACCGUCAAACCCCCUAGCCCCAGUCUGGGACCCAGAGCCCUCCAGGAGUGGGAAACUUCAUCCUAUACCUUCUCAGUCACAGGGAUUUCAGAAAUUAGUCACAGGAAGCAGGGAGGCCGAGAGUGGAGGCUUCCAAGAGGAGCCAGUAACAGGAUCUGGGAUCUUUCACCCCAGGUCACAGAAGCUUAGACUGUCCCCAAGGUAGAGAUGAGUGGUCAAGGAUGGAACCGGCCUUCCCAAGGCUUCUGCCAGCAGCAAGAGCUUUGGGGAGAUGGAACCUAUAGCCAGGCAGUCGUCCCCUCACUGACUGCUCUCUCCCGUAUCUCAAAUGUCUGUCCUAAUACUCUCAACUCUGAGAGACAACAAGGGGUUGACUGGAGCCCAGAACCCAGCAUGUAUCUGAAACAAAGUCUUGACCUGACUUCCAGCCCUCCCCUCAUGAAUGAACACUGUUGCAUCUCAGAGUACUCUCAGACAUCCCAGAAUUGUCACUCACAGACAUCUCAUGUGGACAGACAGUAAAUGAUAAUCAUUCUGAAGGUAUGGAAAAGUUGUGGGGUGGUAGAGGCAGAAGGCACUGGGUUCAAUCCUCUAUAUGGAGAGAAAGAUGAUAGAUAGAUAGAUAGAUAGAUAGAUAGAUAGAUAGAUAGAUAGAUGAUAGAUAGAUAGACAGACAGAUAAAUAGAUAGAUCAGAGACACACACUAAAUAUCUACCAACAGAAAAUAGUUUAGGGCUGGUGAGAUAGCUCAGCAGUUAAGAGCACUGACUGCUUUUCCAAAGGUCCCAAGUUCAAAUCCCAGUCACCACAUGGUAGCUCACAACCCUCUAUAAGGAGAUCUGAUGCCCUCUUCUGGAGUAUCUGAAAACAGUUACAGUGUAGUUACAUAUAAUAAAUAUAUC
This 1514-nucleotide long non-coding RNA is filed under the name Mus musculus (house mouse). RNAcentral's name for it is "predicted gene, 17382". Lineage: Eukaryota; Metazoa; Chordata; Mammalia; Rodentia; Muridae. The record is from RNAcentral.